GCUCCAUCUUUUCUUCCUUCAUCACAAGCAGAGCGCGGUUUCCAUUUGCAUUAUGUCUCUAAACCCAAACAGAUCCAAAACCGCAACUCUUUUCUAUCUUUCUCUUUAAUGCCAGUUCAGAUCGCCUGACUCGGUCUCUAAGCACAGUUGACUCGCCCACUAAACAACCGACUCAAGAGCUUCGAAUUCCAAUGGGAGCAGUGCCUUCAACGCCGCAACGCCCGCAAGACACGGCGGACUACCUAAUUGGCUCAUUUGUCGGCGNNNNNNNNNNNUCCCUCUUGGUUCAGAUUUCUGGCAGAAACUUCUCGAACUCCCUCUCAAUCUCCGUUGGCCCAC
RNAcentral lists this unclassified non-coding RNA (339 nucleotides) under Hevea brasiliensis (rubber tree). The record is from RNAcentral. Lineage: Eukaryota; Viridiplantae; Streptophyta; Magnoliopsida; Malpighiales; Euphorbiaceae.